AUUUCCCUGUGAUUGGUUUCUGCGAGAAAUUCGUGAGGCAUGAUUUCUCACGGAUUGGCUUAAGCCAAUCGAUAGUAAACCAGUAGCCCAUUGGAUCUCUGGGAAAUGUAGUUCACUUAGAAUCAGAGCGGUUCCCCCUCCCCUUAUCUGCCUGGGAUCUGAUAACGGAUUUCUGGAAGGCAGAAGGAAGAGAAUACCUUGGAGAUCUGAAGGAUGUCCAGUGACUGCUUCCCCCAAUUGGCAGACAGGUCACAAGGGGGAGAGUCAG
This 268-nucleotide long non-coding RNA is filed under the name Monodelphis domestica (gray short-tailed opossum). RNAcentral's name for it is "lncRNA (ENSMODG00000042588.1)". Lineage: Eukaryota; Metazoa; Chordata; Mammalia; Didelphimorphia; Didelphidae. The record is from RNAcentral.